This 351-nucleotide ribosomal RNA is filed under the name Orthotomicus nobilis. RNAcentral describes it as "eukaryotic LSU rRNA". It matches the Rfam family "Eukaryotic large subunit ribosomal RNA", at positions 576 to 887 of the family's 3401-position model. Lineage: Eukaryota; Metazoa; Arthropoda; Insecta; Coleoptera; Curculionidae. The record is from RNAcentral.
UGUUGGNCGACGAUGUUCUCGAACAGACCUCACGACCGAUCUGCGACGCUAUAGCUUUGGGUACUUUCAGGACCCGUCUUGAAACACGGACCAAGGAGUCUAGCAUGUGCGCGAGUCAUUGGGAAUUACUAAACCUAAAGGCGUAAUGAAAGUGAAGGUCUUCCUUGCGGAGACCGAGGGAAGACGGGCGGUUCGCCGUUAAAAGCGGCCGUUCAGCAUUCCCGGGGCGUCUCGUUCUCAUCGCGAGAAGAGGCGCACCAAGAGCGUACACGCUGGGACCCGAAAGAUGGUGAACUAUGCCUGGUCAGGACGAAGUCAGGGGAAACCCUGAUGGAGGUCCGUAGCGAUUCU